RNAcentral lists this long non-coding RNA (281 nucleotides) under Canis lupus dingo (dingo). RNAcentral describes it as "lncRNA (ENSCAFG00020020197.1)". The record is from RNAcentral. Lineage: Eukaryota; Metazoa; Chordata; Mammalia; Carnivora; Canidae.
GUCCGGUUGCCACGACCCUGGAAGCUGGCAGCGUGGGCAGGACCGCAGGGGGCCCCGGCUUCACCAGUCCUGGGCGCGUAGCAGGGGGAACCGGCAGCCCGACCGCAAGUGCCAGAGGAGGUAAAGAAGGCAGCACCCCCAUGGCCCCUAGCCCGGGAGGGACCAGGCUGCGUUCCCGAGAGCAGUCAGGAGAGACCUUUGAGGCCCUAGGAAAUGGCCCUGAGCGGGACCCACGUCGCGCUCCAGACUGAGCUGCUGAUUGUAGGCCUUGGAGAUGAGCU